Long non-coding RNA from Ostrea edulis (European flat oyster), 4989 nucleotides. RefSeq lists it as uncharacterized. The transcript has 6 exons. Lineage: Eukaryota; Metazoa; Mollusca; Bivalvia; Ostreida; Ostreidae. The record is from RefSeq and is a predicted model, not a curated record.
GGCGGCGACCACGAGUUACCUGCCCCUAUACAAUGAGUUAAUUGCCCCUGUAUUUCAUCUGUUAAGUUGUACUUAAAAUAGGCUUACUCUUGCGCAAAAAAAGAUAGAAAAUAUCAAAUAUGGGAAAGCGGGACGAUAGACCAAACAUAUCUACGAAGAGACCGUUGGUGCCGGAAAUAUCUCUGUCUUUAGUAGUGUCCGCGAGGUAUAUUAAUAUAUAAAACAUGAGAUAUUAGUACCAUAUUGCCCGGGAAUCAAAAGAUUUUUGCAAGAUCGGUAAGUAUAUUCAAUAUAGGCUAAACAAGCACAAGGCCAGGGCACGUGGUAAGUCAUUCCGCAGCGCAGGAAUGACCAAAACUAGCCUACUGCGGUACCACUUACAGAAAUUACCAAAAAAUGACAAAAAUUACCGAGAGAGGAGCUAAAAUGACCUCAGUAAUACAUGACAUCUACUAUCAUAUUCACAUUAAAAAUUUUGGUCCCUCCUUUGACGACUUCAAUAAUUUUUAAUUUCGGUCAUAUCUUUGGUAUUUUCUGUGAACGUUUGUAAUUUCGGACAUUAUAUGUAACAAUCCUACUAUUCAUUCCACAAUGAAGGCCAGUGGGCCUAGAUUUUUAAUUUGAUACACGUAUAAACUUAACACUGCGCAAGUUACGUCACGGAAUGCAGUAUAGGGGAGGAGAAAAUAUUUGGCUGGACCAGGAGUCGAACCUAGGAUCCCUGCAUUACUAGUCAGGUGCUCUAACCACUGAGCUAUCCAGGUCGAUAUCCACGGUCCGUGUAGCCCUAACUACUAAAUUCCUCCCUUUAAUUUGUCUUUGCCGUCGAAGACACACAACCCAGAUUCAUUUCACCCCUGGCAGGACAAGAGUAGUCACGGCACCAACUGGUAAAAUCUUGCACAGAGGUCCCUAGGUUCAAUUCCCGAUCCAGCCACAAAUUUUCUCCGUGUAUGUCUAUCUGAGACUGAGUUGGAAAAUUACGGUAUCUUCAUAGUGACAAACUAAUGAAAAUAUUGAUCAAAUUCGACUGGUCAAGGACUGUUAAUAUAAAUAAAUUUGAAACAUUGGUCAUUGUAAUGAUUGGUUUCAUGUUAUACUAAGCUUGUGUUUCAAGACAAGGCUGUCUUUGUUGAUGAUGAUACUGAUGUAUAUAUUUAGAAACAAGUAAUGCUUUGAUUUUGAUUACAGGUGUGGUCUUUAAAAAAAUUAAUGCAUGGCAAGGUUGAUAGUGAGACUAAUAAAUUCUUUCAGCAGAAUUCAGCUAGACACAAAAAAAAAGACGAUCACUACAGCCUUCCAAGAAGAUGGACUGCCUCACAAUAGUUUCCUUGAGGACUGUCUUGAAAUAUCCAGAGUUUAAGAUUCAAGAAACGGACUCUAUCUGGAAAAGGAAAACAAUAUCAAAGCUCCUCUGUGAGAAGUUGGCCAAGGAAAGCAUUCAGAAGAAAGUGGAGAUUCAUUGUUUUUACCAGAUCCAGCAGAUCACAGAAAGCAUCUAGUAGGGGAGGUCUACAGAUCGAAGCAUGCCAAACGUGUAAAGAACAAGUUUCCAGGAUUAAGCCAGCCAGUAGAUGAGACUAUUAUAUCAAAAAUACAUUUACUUGUACACGAGGGCACACAAAGCGUUGAUGAAACAAAAAGACAUUUCCGUCUGUUUGUAAAGGAUACUAUUUCACCAGGGAACACCAUCUCAGAAUUUAACAGAUGCUUUUACCCCGCCAAUAAGGAUGUAAGAAAUCACAUUUACAGGGCACCGAGAUUUUGCCAGGUAGUUUAGAACUGUGUGCAUUGGUUUUGGAAGAAUUUGGGCUGUUUAGGCUAAAAUCCAUUAUGAUUGGACAGAAUAUGAACACACACAUCCAAUACUUCAAAGAUAUUAUGUUUGUGGAGGCAGAGAUUUUGAUUGCAUCCACUGUUUAGAAUACAUCCUUAAGGGAAGCAGACUGCCGCCUUUACCCAAUGAUAUAAUGAUUAAUCAUAACUAUAUCUGUUUUGUACCAAAUAGAAAGAGCAUUGAUUCAGGUCAUUUUCAAAUCCACUGGCAUACAUUGUACUAUACAUGCAACCUUUUCAAACUUUACAUUUAAGAUUUUAUAAAGGAAAUAUCUUAAUGUUUCACAUGUUUACCUUUCACUGUGCUAUGUAAUACGCAAGAUCGCGACUACUUUUUCUGUCUUGGUUUUAAAUUUUACUUUCCCCUUUCAAAGUCUCGCGAGACCCAGAGUUUGCGAGAAUUUGGGCAUGUUGGUAAAUAAUACCAGUUCUGCAACUUUUGUUGUGAUCGAUUCGCCCGAUUUUAACAAUGGUGUACUGUCAUUGCAUUGCAGUAGACUGUAGUUAAUGAUUCAAGAAAGAAACAUAAUACGCAGAAAUAUCCACAACUGAUAGAUUUUAAUGGAAAUGUGGUGGAUUUUUCCCCACUGCUGUCAGCCAGGAAAUUCCCAAAGCUGAGAAGAGCUUGUGUCAAAAUAUAUAGCUUCGCGAGCUAAAUUCAGAAGUUCAUUUUUCCUGUAUCCAGACGCUUUUACACACCUUUCAUCUAAAAAUGCUUUUAAUUGUGGAAAGCACGUGGAAGUUAAAUCGUCUUCCGAUGCCAUGUUUUGAAUAAACAAAAAAUGCCCAAGAUCGACACGCUUUUCCGGACUUCUUUACAAGAGAGUUCCGCUAACUUGGUAUUUACGAUCUUGCGUAUUCAUUAUACCUGCCAUUAUGCCAGUCUUCCUGAACAUAAUUUGUUUUCUGCAAUUCCAUUGGCCAAGAGGCUUAAUCCUGGGUUAUCAGAUUGAGCAUUUAUAUUUAGUAUCCCAUUGAUUUUGUCAGCCCUAUAUAAGGAGGUGACUCAGAUUUACUCACUCUGCUAGGUUAAAGAACUCUAAGGUUUGUACUUUUCACAUGAAUUUCGUGUUCGCCUCUUAUCUUUUACAUAGAGUAGGAAAUGAACAUAACAUUGAGUUAGGGAACUAUUUAGAUUUUACAUUAUAAUAUGUAAAUACCUUAGCAGAGUCAAUUUACUUGGUUCAGGGUAGUAUCAGAUAUUACUUUUUCAGAGUUUAAGUGUUUAGACUAUCUCAAUGUUUCUAUAGUUAGCCUUGUCCUAUGUUACUUUUAGAUGUAUGGAAGCCUUUUAGUGUUAUAACACUAUAUUUAUGCCCCCAUUCAAAGAAGAGGGGCAUAUUGGUUUGCACCUGUUGGUCGGUCGGUAGACCACAUGUUGUCCGCUUAAUAUCUUAAGAACCAUUCACUUGAUCGUAAUAUAUUUCAUAUGUGGGUUGGUUAUGAAAAGAAGGGGACCCCAAUUGUUUUUUAGGUCGAAAUGUCAAGGGUCAAUCUACUCUGGACAUAGGAAGACACUGCCUGCUCAAUAUCUUGAGAACCCUUUGCUUGACAGACAUCAAACUUGGUACACUGGUACAUCUCAAGGAGUAGAUUUGAGGUCAUAUGGUCAAAAGUCAAGGGGUAAACUGGACAUAGUAAUAUAUUGUCUCUUAUGUUUUAAGAAUUAUUUGCUUGAUUGACACCAAACCUGGUACAGCAUAAGGAGUAGAUGACCCCUAUUGAUUUUUAGGUCACUUGGUCAAUCCACUCCUGACAUAGGAAGAUAUUGUUUGCUCAAUAUUUCGAAUUGAUGAUACUACUAUCAAUCAAAUUAUGCAUGUGUAUAACCCUUUUCAGUUUUGCACCAUGGGGGCUUAUAUGUUUUACAAACACCUCAUGUUUUAUAGUUUGUGAAAGCUUGUUAGGGUCAUAACUUUAGAUUUUCUUAUUAUGGUACUUGCCCGUCAGAGACUGGACAUAUUAUGGUAUGGUGCUGUCUGUCCGGACCUUGUAAGAUGGGAUACAGACUGAACCGUAAGCUCCAGAAUCUUACAACUUGGUACAUUUGAUCACCAUAAAAGGAAGAUGCUUAUUGUUUUUUAAGGUCAAGGUUGUAGGUUCACUUAAUAGGAAAACCUUGUUUGAGAAAAUUACAGAUUCUUGAACUGAGUAUUUUGAGGAAACAUUACAUAGAAAGUACAUGAUUUGUCAAAUUUCUCCCAAUAUUCAACUGAGAACCUUAUUCUGCAGAGUAUUUGUAUGGGUAUGGAAAAUGUGUAUGUGGCUAUGAUUUUGAUUUUUGUUUAAUUUUUUGAAAAUUACAGGUUUAACCAAGUCAGUUUUUGAGGAAAUAUACAUGUAUUAAAUAAAUGACGGUUUGACCUUUUAACUCCUCUCACAGUUUUGAAGCUAGGGUCUUUGUAAAUAACUUCUUUGGUGUUUUAGAAUAUUUACAGAUUGUUGAUCAUGGUCAAUUUUGGGGAAAUAUUUUCCGCAGAGCUCUAGUUGUCUAUCUACCGGCCUCCUGUCACUUUUAAGUUUAGGAGCUUUUAUUUAUGGAAAGAAAGUAUGUGACAGCCUGAUGAUGGCUGAUACUAUUUAAAGCCUUUUUAUACGCCCGUCUUAAGACGGGACGUAUUAUGGUAUGGCGUUCAUGUCCGUCCGUCUGUUAGCUUUUACGUGUCCGACCCGUAACUUAAAUACUACAAGGCCUAGAAUCAUCAAACUUUGUCUGUAGAUACAUCUUGGGUAGAAGGUGUGUCGCACAUUAAAACCAGGUCACUGUGACUUUUCAUUAAGAAGAUAUGGCCAUAUAUGGCAAAAACUUGUCCGGCUCAUAACUUGAAAACUAUUAGACCUAGAAUCACCAAAAUUGGUCAACUAAUGCAUCUUAGGUAGAAGGUGUGUCGCAUCCUACUUUAAGGUCACUGUGACAUUUAAUUAAGGUGAUAUAAAUAAAAAUGUUUUAAUGGGUACAAUCUAUACUGUUAACAAUAUGUGACGGGCGUAUCAUGUGCCGUGGUGGUGCACUUUAUUCUAGAAAUGGCAUCAAAAACACACCCUAUGUAACCUUUUCUGCUUGUACUCAUUUAUUUUUAUUGGAAAACUUAUUACUUGUUAUCAGCUACUCUAAAACAAUAUUGACUUGUGCUAUAAUAAAUUUGUAAACUU